UGGGGAAUCUUGCGCAAUGGCCGCAAGGCUGACGCAGCGACGCCGCGUGCGGGAGGACGCCCCUCGGGGUGUAAACCGCUGUCGCCCGGGGCGAACCGGGGGUUUCGACCCCCCUGACGGUACCGGGCGAGGAAGCGCCGGCUAACUCCGUGCCAGCAGCCGCGGUAAUACGGAGGGCGCGAGCGUUGUCCGGAAUCACUGGGCGUAAAGGGCGCGUAGGCGGCCCCUCGAGCGUGUGGUGAAAGCCCGGGGCUCAACCCCGGGUCGGCCGUGCGGACUGGGGGGCUGGAGCACUGUAGGGGCGGGCGGAAUUCCGGGUGUAGCGGUGGAAUGCGUAGAGAUCCGGAAGAACACCGGUGGCGAAGGCGGCCCGCUGGGCAGGGAGGCUCGCAAGAGCCGGCUGACGCUGAGGCGCGACAGCGUGGGGAGCAAACAGG
RNAcentral lists this ribosomal RNA (437 nucleotides) under uncultured bacterium. RNAcentral's name for it is "bacterial SSU rRNA". It matches the Rfam family "Bacterial small subunit ribosomal RNA", at positions 355 to 776 of the family's 1533-position model. The record is from RNAcentral.